AUUUCUAUUUCUAUUUCUAUUUCUGCCGGGUUUUUUUUUUUUUUUUCCCUCCUCUGUGCUUUCUAGGGUUUUUGCUCUGCUCAAUUACUUGUUUAUGCUCUGGAUUUUUGUUAUUUUGGUCUGGUUCUCAGCUCCGUCGGAUAAUUGUUGAAGUAGCUUGUUAAUUCAACUUUCUGGUGGGGAAUUCAUAUUGUUUCCCUGCUGGGAAAGUGAAGAUGAUUUGUGGAUGGAGGUGGCAGUUUUUAUAUUGCGGAUUUUCUGUUUUCGUUUUAAUAGAUGCAGAGUAUUCGUGCUCGGGAGCAGGUUGGAGGGAAAUCAAGUACGUGAAAGAAUGAAGUUAGUCUGGAGAGAAUGGAAGAAAUGAGUGAGGAAAUGACGCUAUUGGAUGUGACAGAGGAUGCGCAUGUCCAAAAUAAGGUUAGGCAAGAUGCUCAAGAGAAUGAGUAUUCACUGAAACCUGAAAAUAUCAACAUGGUUGAAUCACAAGAAAUGCUUAUGCCCAUUGACGGUGGCUAUUCACAGGAUUAUCCUCAUGAAUUUACUGACAUUUUAGAGGGUAAGAAUCUGAAUAGGUGUAAGAACAAUGUGAAAUUAUCUGAUCAACCAGAGUGCAGUCCUCACUGUAUGGAUGAUGCUGGCGUAAUGGUUGAAGAACUAACUGUGAAAAAUCAAAGUGGUUCCAAUUUAGCAAUUAUUGGUCCAUCAAACAAUAGAGCACGACUGCUUUCUGGGCAUAGUCCGUGGCAGCAUCUUUACCAGCUGGCAAGUGGUUCAGGAAGUGGGAGUUCAUUUGGCGAUACUUCUUACAAGAAUAUUGGUCAGGCAGUAAUCACUGGCUUGGAGAAUGGUGGGUACUCAUCUUUUCCGGAGUCUUUUGUUGGAGGAGCCAAUCGUAAUGAUUGUGGAGAGGAAUUGGAAGAAUUGAAGGCUAUUGACAAUAAGGGUGGUGAUGCUCUUGGCAGCAUUCGGACCAAGAUUCUAUCAAAAUCGGGGUUUCCUGAAUAUUUUGUUAAAAAUACCUUGAAAGGCAAGGGUAUCAUUCGAAGAGCUGUUCCUCUGGAGGGCUUUAGUGUUGAACAUAGAAACCCUAAGACUGCAAGGAAUGCUGGGGGCAUUACAUUGGCAUCUGACUCAUCAUUACGGCAUGAUGCUAAAGCUGUCAUGCCCUCUACGUAUAAGAAAUCUGAGCGUAAACGUCAGAGUUCUGCUUUAGAUGGUAUUAAUCUAAGAGAAUGGCUUAAAGUUCCCCACGAAAAAGUAAAUAAAACUAAAUGCUUGUAUAUAUUUAGGCGCAUAGUUGAACUGGUGGAUCGUGCUCAUGCUCGGGGGGUUUUCUUGCAUGACUUACGACCAUCUUCUUUCAGGAUAUUGACAACAAAUCAGGUGAGGUACUUUGGAUCUUUUAUUCAAGGGAAAAUGCCUGAAAGUCUAAUGGUUAUAGAUAGUCAAUGUUCAGAUAGCCGUCCGACUCGGAAAAGGCCAUUAGAACAAGGGAACUUUCUGUCAUUUGGUGUAUCUCCAAAAAAGCAAAAAGAUAUCCAAAAUACAAGUCUUAUGGCCCGGCACUCUCAUUUUCCUUUAAAAUCUUGUGUCAAUCUUGAGACUGCAAACACAAGGGACUGCAAUAUGAAUGAUUUGGAAAAUUAUGAUGAACGUUUUACGGAACGGGGGGUUUGGAGCAUGCCUGCUGGCCAUUGUGCAUAUGAUUCAGCCCAGACUCCAACAAGUGACCAAUUGGAAGAGAAUUGGUAUGCAAGUCCAGAGGAACUAAAUGCAGGAUGCUUCUCAGCUAAAUCAAAUAUAUUCUCACUUGGUGUUCUUCUUUUUGAGUUACUUGGAAAGUUUGAAUCUGAUGGCACACUUGCUGCUGCAAUGUCAAAUUUGCGUGAUAGGAUUCUUCCUCCUAACUUCCUAGCAGAUAAUUUGAAGGAAGUUGGGUUUUGUCUUUGGCUACUUCAUCCUGAACCUGCAUCUCGUCCGACAACAAGGGAAAUUUUACAAUCAGAACUAAUUAAUGGAAUGACAAAUUCUCCGCCAGUAGAGCUUUCAACAUCUAUUGAUGAGGAAGAUGCUGAAUCAGAGUUAUUAUUGCAGUUUCUCACAUCGAUGAAUGAACAAAAGCAGAAACAAGCCGCAAAGUUGGCGGAGGACAUUCGGCAUUUAGAAUCAGAUAUUGAAGAAGUCAACAAAAGGCACAGAUCCACGGAACCCUUGGUUAAAUCUGGCUUGUCUAGUACGGUGGAUGGAAGGGAUGAUUUCGUGUUUCAUGGAGGAUAUCAGAAUUCAGAUGUGCGCUCUGUGGUAUCUAAAAUAUCACAUAUCAAUGAAGAGAGAAUAGAAAAAAAUAUAAUCCAGCUUGAAAGUGCUUAUUUUUCCAUGAGAUCAAAAGUAGACUCUUCUGAGAAUGAUUCAGCAGUUCGGACAGAUACAGAUUUAUUUAGAACUCGUGAAAACUGUUAUCUACCACAAAAAGAUGAUGAAAGGACUCAUGGUGAUCGUCUUGGUGCCUUUUUUGACGGGUUUUGCAAGUAUUCUCGUUAUAGCAAGUUUCAAGUACGUGGGGUACUGAGAAGUGGUGAUUUUAACAGUUCCUCAAAUGUAAUCUGCUCCUUGAGUUUUGAUCGGGACGAGGACUAUUUUGCUGCUGCUGGAGUGUCAAAGAAAAUAAGGAUUUUUGACUUUAAUUCAGUCUUUAGCGACUCAGUAGAUAUUCACUAUCCCGCAGUUGAAAUGUUUAAUAGAUCAAAGCUUAGCUGUGUUUGCUGGAAUAGCUACAUCAGGAACUAUCUGGCUUCUACUGACUAUGAUGGUGUUGUUAAGCUAUGGGAUGCAACUGUUGGUCAAGAGGUUUCUCAAUUCAAAGAACAUGAGAAGAGGGCGUGGUCUGUUGACUUUUCAAAAGUGCAUCCUACAAAGUUGGCCAGUGGAAGUGAUGAUUGUGCUGUAAAACUUUGGAGCAUUAGUGAGAAGAACUCUUUGGGUACAAUCAGGAACAUUGCAAAUGUCUGCUGCGUUCAGUUUUCUGCUCACUCAACUCAUAUGCUUGCUUUUGGAUCUGCCGAUUACAGAACCUAUUGCUUCGAUCUACGAAAUACUAAAGCCCCCUGGUGUGUAUUGGGCGGCCAUGAGAAAGCUGUAAGCUAUGUGAAAUUCUUGGACUCGGAGACCCUUGUAUCUGCAUCCACUGACAACACGUUGAAGCUAUGGGAUCUUAAUAGAACCAAUCCUACUGGCUUGUCUACCAAUGCUUGCAGUUUAACUCUCAAUGGUCACACUAAUGAAAAGAAUUUCGUGGGUCUAUCUGUUUCCGAUAGCUACAUUGCUUGUGGUUCAGAAACAAAUGAAGUAUAUGCUUACCAUAGAUCUCUGCCCAUGCCAAUGACUUCCUAUAAGUUUGGUUCUAUUGACCCCGUUUCUGGAAAAGAGACCGAGGACGACAAUGGACAGUUUGUUUCGAGUGUAUGCUGGAGAGGAAAAUCCGACAUGGUUGUUGCAGCCAAUUCAAGUGGGUGUAUAAAAGUACUGCAAAUGGUUUGAAUGUGAAAACUCAUUUUCUGAGAUUAACUUGACCAUUGUGGUCAUCUUCAGUCGCUUUACAGCUCGUGAAUUUGACAGAAUAUCUGAAGCCCAAUUCUGAGAAUAGCUAGUUAUAAAAGCUGCAAAAGAAGCAGAUUGGUUGCAUAUUGAGAUUGAACACUUCCUCUUCUGGACUAUGAUUUUCUCCUUGAGCAUUCCAAAGAUUUGUUCUAAUUUCAAGAGAAGGAUUUCCAAUGAACACUCAUUAGUUUCCCUUUACCUCGUUUCUCUUUCUUAAGUGUUCAUUUGACCUGUGUGUUUAUUCGCCCAGAAUGGAUAUGGGAUACCAAUUAUACUUUUGGCUUUUAAAAUAUGUGCUGAAAAUCUAUGCAUGGAGGACUGCAGAUCAUAUAUUUACUAAU
This is a non-coding RNA of Cucurbita pepo subsp. pepo (vegetable marrow), 3938 nucleotides long. The record is from RefSeq and is a predicted model, not a curated record. Lineage: Eukaryota; Viridiplantae; Streptophyta; Magnoliopsida; Cucurbitales; Cucurbitaceae.